RNAcentral lists this transfer RNA (67 nucleotides) under marine eukaryotic metagenome. It matches the Rfam family "tRNA". From Rfam's summary of the family: Transfer RNA (tRNA) molecules are approximately 80 nucleotides in length. The record is from RNAcentral.
AGAAUAGCUCAGUUGGUAGAGCGCAACCUUGCCAAGGUUGAGGUCGCGGGUUCGAAUCCCGUUUCUC